This 86-nucleotide transfer RNA is filed under the name Xenopus tropicalis (tropical clawed frog). Its description in RNAcentral is "Xenopus (Silurana) tropicalis (western clawed frog) tRNA". It matches the Rfam family "tRNA". From Rfam's summary of the family: Transfer RNA (tRNA) molecules are approximately 80 nucleotides in length. The record is from Rfam by way of RNAcentral. Lineage: Eukaryota; Metazoa; Chordata; Amphibia; Anura; Pipidae.
GCCUCUGUGACACAAUGGAUAGUGUGUUGAACUUCUAGGUAAAAGGAGAAAUUUAAAGGUUGUGGGUUCACAUCCCAUUAGAGUCA